Molecule: ribosomal RNA, 695 nt
Filed under: Salmonella enterica
Lineage: Bacteria; Pseudomonadati; Pseudomonadota; Gammaproteobacteria; Enterobacterales; Enterobacteriaceae
Also listed under: 3 other names
Description: partial 23S ribosomal RNA
Rfam family: Bacterial large subunit ribosomal RNA
Source: RNAcentral
AGACCCGAAACCCGGUGAUCUAGCCAUGGGCAGGUUGAAGGUUGGGUAACACUAACUGGAGGACCGAACCGACUAAUGUUGAAAAAUUAGCGGAUGACCUGUGGCUGGGGGUGAAAGGCCAAUCAAACCGGGAGAUAGCUGGUUCUCCCCGAAAGCUAUUUAGGUAGCGCCUCGUGAAUUCAUCUCCGGGGGUAGAGCACUGUUUCGGCUAGGGGGCCAUCCCGGCUUACCAACCCGAUGCAAACUGCGAAUACCGGAGAAUGUUAUCACGGGAGACACACGGCGGGUGCUAACGUCCGUCGUGAAGAGGGAAACAACCCAGACCGCCAGCUAAGGUCCCAAAGUCAUGGUUAAGUGGGAAACGAUGUGGGAAGGCCCAGACAGCCAGGAUGUUGGCUUAGAAGCAGCCAUCAUUUAAAGAAAGCGUAAUAGCUCACUGGUCGAGUCGGCCUGCGCGGAAGAUGUAACGGGGCUAAACCAUGCACCGAAGCUGCGGCAGCGAACGUAUCACCCAAGACAACUUUACGGAGUUGACGAUUGACGGAGCGAAGCGACGUCAAAGCGUUCAUUAAAGUCGAGUUGGCUUAGGGAUACGUUCGUUGGGUAGGGGAGCGUUCUGUAAGCCUGUGAAGGUGUGUCGUGAGGCAUGCUGGAGGUAUCAGAAGUGCGAAUGCUGACAUAAGUAACGAUAAAGC